Molecule: long non-coding RNA, 725 nt
Organism: Artibeus jamaicensis (Jamaican fruit-eating bat)
Lineage: Eukaryota; Metazoa; Chordata; Mammalia; Chiroptera; Phyllostomidae
Exons: 4
Source: RefSeq, a predicted model, not a curated record
ACACAGGAAGGCCAAGCUGUGCUGGAUGUGAAGUCCUGUGCUAAGGAACUUGGGUCUUUCUCUUCUCAGUGGAGAGAACGCAUAGGCGGCUUUCAAGUCCAGAGUGGCAGUUUGGAAGCAGAGUUUUGUCAGCAGCCUGGAGAGGAUAGUGGACUGUUACAAAGCUUCUACAACUGUCCAGGCUGUGGGCCUGAGGGCCUGAGCCAAGGUCAACCAGGAUGCUCGGAUAACCGAGAGGAAGGAUGCCAUGGAGAUGCCCCGCAUCUGCCCCACGUCUGUUACACAGGUUUGUGCUUCAGAAUCACCUGGGGUGGCACUUGGCUGAAGCCCCGGAGGAGACCCAAAGGCAGCUUCAGGUGAGCUCGCAGGAAACCAGCAGCGGAUGGACAUCAGAUGGAAGAUGUACAGAGCCAUCCACAGAUGGAGCCGGUUGCCUGAGGCCCAGGAAUCGUAGAGAGUUUACGUGCCAGCCUGAUGUGCAUGUUUGUGCGGCAGAAUGGAUGCUGCGUAUUUACAGCCCCCAAGAGUGCCUCCAGCCCCGAGCCUGCACUGUGUAGAAAGCAGGAGAACAGGCCUUGAACAGGAAAGCGACCCCUUGUUUCAAUCCGGCAUUCUCGGUUUCACACCUGAGCCGAACCUAAGGCAGAGGAGGAAUUGGUGGAACCACCCAAAGGGAGAUGCGGCCAAGGUCCUACCCCAAGAACCACCUGCUUUGAACAAGGGCC